Molecule: small nucleolar RNA, 131 nt
Filed under: Nannospalax galili (Upper Galilee mountains blind mole rat)
Lineage: Eukaryota; Metazoa; Chordata; Mammalia; Rodentia; Spalacidae
Description: Small nucleolar RNA SNORA40 (ENSNGAG00000006267.1)
Rfam family: Small nucleolar RNA SNORA40
About the family: The snoRNA ACA 40 belongs to the H/ACA family of snoRNAs and guides the pseudouridylation of 28S rRNA subunit at position U4565. NB This family has a high threshold value to exclude a large number of closely related sequences that do not appear to have conserved H and ACA boxes, and may be pseudogenes.
Source: RNAcentral
AGUACUCUGUGCAUUUGUGUUUGUUUAGCUGGUGGACAAAGGCAUGAAAGACAGGUGCAAAAAUAAAACCUCCUUUGUAACCCAGAACCCGUUGUUCAGUAUGAGUUUUAAUUCACGCAUGAAGGAAUACG